This 253-nucleotide ribosomal RNA is filed under the name uncultured bacterium. RNAcentral's name for it is "partial 16S ribosomal RNA". It matches the Rfam family "Bacterial small subunit ribosomal RNA", at positions 524 to 776 of the family's 1533-position model. The record is from RNAcentral.
GACAGAGGGUGCAAACGUUGUUCGGAAUUACUGGGCGUAAAGCGUGUGUAGGCGGCCUUGCAAGUCGGAUGUGAAAGCCCCGGGCUUAACCCGGGAAGUGCACUCGAAACUGCCUGGCUAGAGUAUCGGAGAGGUUGGUGGAAUUCUCGGUGUAGAGGUGAAAUUCGUAGAUAUCGAGAGGAACACCGGUGGCGAAGGCGGCCAACUGGACGAAUACUGACGCUGAGACACGAAAGCGUGGGGAGCAAACAGG